This 466-nucleotide ribosomal RNA is filed under the name uncultured bacterium. RNAcentral describes it as "partial 16S ribosomal RNA". It matches the Rfam family "Bacterial small subunit ribosomal RNA", at positions 28 to 507 of the family's 1533-position model. The record is from RNAcentral.
GAUGAACGCUGGCGGCGUGCUUAACACAUGCAAGUCGAACGAUGAAGCUCAGCUUGCUGGGUGGAUUAGUGGCGAACGGGUGAGUAACACGUGAGUAACCUGCCCUUAACUCUGGGAUAAGCCUGGGAAACUAGGUCUAAUACCGGAUAGGAGCGCCUACCGCAUGGUGGGUGUUGGAAAGAUUUAUCGGUUUUGGAUGGACUCGCGGCCUAUCAGCUUGUUGGUGAGGUAAUGGCUCACCAAGGCGACGACGGGUAGCCGGCCUGAGAGGGUGACCGGCCACACUGGGACUGAGACACGGCCCAGAAGCCUACGGGAGGCAGCAGUGGGGAAUAUUGCACAAUGGGCGAAAGCCUGAUGCAGCGACGCCGCGUGAGGGAUGACGGCCUUCGGGUUGUAAACCUCUUUCAGUAGGGAAGAAGCGAAAGUGACGGUACCUGCAGAAGAAGCACCGGCUAACUACGUG